Molecule: long non-coding RNA, 256 nt
Filed under: Ananas comosus (pineapple)
Lineage: Eukaryota; Viridiplantae; Streptophyta; Magnoliopsida; Poales; Bromeliaceae
Description: long non-coding RNA (ACOM_LNC044403)
Source: RNAcentral
CGGUGUCGGCGUCGGCGCCGACGAAAAUGCAUCGUCAUUGAAGGCGACAGAGAAUGAGGGAGAGGGAGAGGCGAGAAGGGCGGGGAAGAGCGAGAGAGGCGUCGUCGUCGGAGACGGUAGAGGAGAGUCGGGGAAGAAAAAAAAAGAAAAAAAAAAAGUCGCGGCGCGGCCUUGGCGGGGUCGGAGGCGAGGAAGGUGGGGGGUGCGUGGGCGAGGGCAAGGGCGAGGGCGAGAGCGAGAGCAUAAGGGUGAGAGG